AAGUCCAUGGUGUGGACAUUUUCAAAACAAACCUCUAAACCUUUCACAUGUUUCAUAUAGUGUCUCACCAUCCAAUUGACUAAAAUUAGUAAUAUCCAUUCUAAAUUU
Molecule: small nucleolar RNA, 108 nt
Organism: Coffea eugenioides
Lineage: Eukaryota; Viridiplantae; Streptophyta; Magnoliopsida; Gentianales; Rubiaceae
Source: RefSeq, a predicted model, not a curated record